RNAcentral lists this ribosomal RNA (368 nucleotides) under uncultured bacterium. RNAcentral describes it as "bacterial SSU rRNA". It matches the Rfam family "Bacterial small subunit ribosomal RNA", at positions 29 to 388 of the family's 1533-position model. The record is from RNAcentral.
AACGAACGCUGGCGGCGCGCCUAAUACAUGCAAGUCGAGCGAGAAGACGUAGCAAUACGUUUGUAAAGCGGCGAACGGGUGAGGAAUACAUGGGUAACCUACCCUCGAGUGGGGAAUAACUAGCCGAAAGGUUAGCUAAUACCGCGUACGCUCCUUGGACUUCGGUUCAGGGAGGAAAGCGAUGCCGAGGGUAUCGCGCUCUUGGAUGGGCUCAUGUCCUAUCAGCUUGUUGGGAGGUAACGGCUCACCAAGGCUUCGACGGGUAGCUGGUCUGAGAGGACGAUCAGCCACACUGGCACUGCGACACGGGCCAGACUCCUACGGGAGGCAGCAGUAAGGAAUAUUGCGCAAUGGGCGAAAGCCUGACG